RNAcentral lists this unclassified non-coding RNA (175 nucleotides) under uncultured fungus. Its description in RNAcentral is "sequence contains ITS1". Lineage: Eukaryota; Fungi. The record is from RNAcentral.
UCGAAUGAACGAAGCGCGCGGUUGCUGCUGGUCGCUCGCGCGACAACGUGCACGCCGCCGUUUCUCUUUCAAUCCACCCCCCUUCUGUGCACUUUCCGUGGACCGCGAAUCUCUCGCGGUCUAUGACUUUACACACUCCGUAACCUUUAAAUGAAUGCAUCGUUGGUAUAAUAUA